Dioscorea cayenensis subsp. rotundata (Guinea yam) is the source of this 509-nucleotide long non-coding RNA. RefSeq lists it as uncharacterized. The record is from RefSeq and is a predicted model, not a curated record. The transcript is spliced from 2 exons. NCBI's taxonomy places the organism in Eukaryota, Viridiplantae, Streptophyta, Magnoliopsida, Dioscoreales, Dioscoreaceae.
UUAAUUAAUUAUGUAUUAUAAAUUCAGAGAUUUUCAAAACGCCGAUCGGGAAACUGAGGACGUCCUCAAAAUUCUAGGGUUUCUCAGCAACGUCGCAGAAGGGUUUCGAGAGCAACGGAAACAUCAUCGGUGAUGGAGGUCGAUCCGGAACCGUAUCCGUAGCAGCUAGACACUAGCGAGUUGGUGCAGUUCGCUAGGAUUUGAGAUCUUUAGCUGGGAUUUUGACAGUUGUGGCUAUCAUGGGGAUGAUGGGUGUCUUUUCUUAGAACGAACGUAUCGAAAACCUUUUGGCCCAACAUUUGCCACCUGGUGAUAUUGUCGGUGCUGGUAUUGAUUAUGCCUCAAAAAAGUUCUACUUCAUGUAAGUUUGGUUAGGCAUGUUAACUAUUAGAAGCAUUUGAAGCAUGUUUAACCAAGAGGAGAAAAUGAGAGAGUGAUUUGGAUUAUUGUAAUACAUAUGCUUGUUUGUUGUGGACUGUCUUAGAAAUUAUAUGUAGGACAUUGGCAUA